This 278-nucleotide ribosomal RNA is filed under the name Tessellana orina. RNAcentral describes it as "partial 16S ribosomal RNA". The record is from RNAcentral. Lineage: Eukaryota; Metazoa; Arthropoda; Insecta; Orthoptera; Tettigoniidae.
GAUAAGAGRAAUUUACCUUUUGAGUCAAAGGCUUAGAUGAGUAUGAAGACCAGAAGGCCCUUAGACCUUUAUAUAAUAGURUGAUUAUAUAAUUGGYUGUGUUGAUUAUAAUCAUGWUAUUGUAUUUUGUUGGGGUGACAUGAAGAUAWAAGUAACUCUUUAUAAUGGAAACAUUGAUUUAUGAUUGGUUGAUCCGUUAUUAACGAUUACAAGAUAAAGUUACCUUAGGGAUAACAGCGUAAUUUAUUUUGAGAGUUCAUAUCGACAAGAAAGAUAUG